ACACUGUUGCUGCAAUACCUGCCUCCAGAUGCAGCCAGAUAACCACCAAAUGAGCCACCUCCAAGCCAGUCACACCCUUGCUGGCCAUUCAGGGCACAUUGAAGAAGAGGGAGACAUGUGAGAUCAUAGGAGCUGGUCACUAGAGUGUUGGUGUCACCAAGCCAAAUUUCGGUCUGUUCACCUGUGGGCAGUAAAGCCUCUCCUUACUCUGGGUUGCAGUGAAGGAAAGGGCAGCAUUUGUUGCAGGGCUUCAAGAUGGCUAAUGGUCAAAAAUCUCAAUGGCUUUCAGGGAAAGGUGUUUAAAGACAGUGAGUUCGAGGGUUGCAGGUGCAGGACCAGCUGGCAGACAUUCCUCUGAUUGGUUGGUAGUGAGGUAAUUAGGAGUCAACAUCAUUAAACUUGGGGUUCCAACCAGGCCACGUGCUUGUGGUUAGCAAGCAGUUAAUUUUUCCCACCUGGUAGGGCUUUCAGUGUCUGCCAAACAACUCAAAGGAUACGGCUCAGAAUAUUACCUUUAGCCCUUGAGGAGGAACUAAAAGUCCUUGAUUUUGUUUUGUGGCUAAGUUAUUCUUUUUUUGUCUGGCUUGAUUAUUUCCCUUUCUUUCUGUAUUUUUCUCAUGGCUCUGACUAAAUGUAUUCUUUGGAACUCGGGGAAGCCCUAGGAGGCUAACGUUUAUCUACAAACCAGCAGCAGGCUGAGGACUCAGGGUGGAGCAGUGGAGGGGGGUCGAGUUUCCCAGGAAGACCCCCUAGGGUCCUGUUCAGGUACAUCUGGAGAGGACACAGAGAGGACAGAGAAGAGGUGACUGCUGAUUGACCUGCAAGUUGGACUUGGCUGAUUGGAGGCGCCUUGAUCCUGCCUAUUUCCUUGAAAUGUACCCUCUGCCCUUGGUUCCCAGGCUGGGAGCCAUUUUUGAGGAGGCAGCCUUGAAGGAACUGUGUGUUGCUGAGACUCUCUGGACAACAUGCGAGUCUAAACCCACUGAGGGCCUCUGUAAAAGCUUUCAAGAUCCUGGCCAGCAGGGGUGGAGAGUGCUUUUGGCUACCAAGACAAGCCUUGUAGGGCCAUGUGUUUGGUAAUCCUUACCUCCAGCCUAACUUCUAAAGGAACACUAACCUGGAAUCCAUCAUCAAAAAGCCAAGUCACCGGAGUUUCACCAAUUCCCAGCCUGUGAAUGGGCUCUUCUGUAUGAUUGCCUCAAGGCAGGAACAGCAUGAGGAGGGAGAACCAGAGCAGCGUGUCUGAAUUCCUCCUUUUGGGGCUCCCCAUCCAGCCACAGCAGCAGGGCAUGUUCUUUGCCCUGUUCCUGGGCAU
This is a non-coding RNA of Sus scrofa (pig), 1315 nucleotides long. NCBI's taxonomy places the organism in Eukaryota, Metazoa, Chordata, Mammalia, Artiodactyla, Suidae. The record is from RefSeq and is a predicted model, not a curated record.